This is a non-coding RNA of Oryza brachyantha (malo sina), 200 nucleotides long. The record is from Rfam. Lineage: Eukaryota; Viridiplantae; Streptophyta; Magnoliopsida; Poales; Poaceae.
AAUAAUCUCAUUUUUCGUUUUUCCGUGUCCAAUGUUUGACCAUUCGUCUUAUUUAAAAAAUUUGUAAAAAACUUAAAAACUUAAAAAAAUUAGUCACGUAUAAAGUACUAUUCAUAUUUUAUCAUCUACUAACAAUAAAAAUAUUAAUCACAAAAAUAUUUUAAAUAAGAUGAAUGGUUAAAAGUUGGACACGGAAAAAC